UUCUAUUAUUGUUUUCUUCAUAUUUUUCUAGGCCUUUUUUGCGAUUUUGUAAAAAUGGGUAACUUUUUUAUUUUUGUAGAUUUAAAUUUUUUUUUUUCAAACUAGCCAAAACAUUCCUAUUCUGCCUCUACUUGUUCCCUUUCUCCUACCACUUCCCAUCACUCUAGCUCCACCGUCUCUAGGUCGCUGCCAUGCUCCUCCCCUCUCUCACAACCCAUGAGUGCGAGGACGAUGACGAUGCUUAACUUGCUC
RNAcentral lists this long non-coding RNA (252 nucleotides) under Ananas comosus (pineapple). RNAcentral's name for it is "long non-coding RNA (ACOM_LNC027916)". The record is from RNAcentral. Lineage: Eukaryota; Viridiplantae; Streptophyta; Magnoliopsida; Poales; Bromeliaceae.